Non-coding RNA from Xyrichtys novacula (pearly razorfish), 93 nucleotides. Lineage: Eukaryota; Metazoa; Chordata; Actinopteri; Labriformes; Labridae. The record is from the annotation of a GenBank genome assembly.
UCCUUCUGAACAGCCGCAAAGUCCUCAGGUGUCAAACUAAUAGUAACACCAUCUUCUGCAGGCACCUGAAGACUUUGCGGCUGUUCAGAAGGA